RNAcentral lists this ribosomal RNA (468 nucleotides) under uncultured bacterium. RNAcentral's name for it is "partial 16S ribosomal RNA". It matches the Rfam family "Bacterial small subunit ribosomal RNA", at positions 28 to 507 of the family's 1533-position model. The record is from RNAcentral.
GACGAACGCUGGCGGCGUGCUUAACACAUGCAAGUCGAACGGAAAGGCCCUGCUUUUGUGGGGUGCUCGAGUGGCGAACGGGUGAGUAACACGUGAGUAACCUGCCCUUGACUUUGGGAUAACUUCAGGGAACUGGGGCUAAUACCGGAUAGGAGCUCCUGCUGCAUGGGGGGGGUUGGAAAGUUUCGGCGGUUGGGGUUGGACUCGCGGCUUAUCAGCUUGUUGGUGGGGUAGUGGCUUACCAGGGCUUUGACGGGUAGCCGGCCUGAGAGGGUGACCGGCCCCAUUGGGCUUGAGAUACGGCCCAGACUCCUCCGGGAGGCAGCGGUGGAGAAUAUUGCCCAAUGGGCGGAAGCAUGAUGCAGCAGCGCCGCGUGCGGGAUGACGGCCUUCGGGUUGUAAUCCGAUUUGGCCUGUGACGAAGCGUGAGUGACGGUAAUGGGUAAAGAAGCACCGGCUAACUACGUG